UGCCAGCCGCCGCGGUAAUACAUAGGGGUCAAGCGUUGUUCGGAAUUACUGGGCGUAAAGCGCAUGUAGGCGGAACAGAAAGUUAGAAGUGAAAUCCCUGGGCUCAACCUAGGAAUUGCUUUUAAAACUUCUUUUCUGGAAUUCAGGAGAGGAAAAUGGAAUAUCCAGUGUAGAGGUGAAAUUCGUAGAUAUUGGAUGGAACACCAGUGGCGAAGGCGAUUUUCUGGACUGAUAUUGACGCUGAGAUGCGAAGGCAUGGGUAGCAAACGGGAUUAGAUA
Molecule: ribosomal RNA, 279 nt
Filed under: uncultured bacterium
Lineage: Bacteria
Description: partial 16S ribosomal RNA
Rfam family: Bacterial small subunit ribosomal RNA
Source: RNAcentral